RNAcentral lists this small nuclear RNA (294 nucleotides) under Mus pahari (shrew mouse). RNAcentral's name for it is "sRNA (MGP_PahariEiJ_G0008270.1)". It matches the Rfam family "7SK RNA". Rfam says of the family: 7SK was discovered as an abundant small nuclear RNA in the mid-70s but a possible function has only recently been suggested. The record is from RNAcentral. Lineage: Eukaryota; Metazoa; Chordata; Mammalia; Rodentia; Muridae.
GACAAGAAGGGAACCUUCCUGGAUAUGGCAUCUGUUGAACAUUGACCAGAAGGGUUUAUUCAGAUGAUCUGAUUGGCUAGGUGGGCACCCUUUGCCUUUGUCACCACUCCUUGUGCAUUGCCUCCAAAGUUGUGCUCUCAAUUGAAGAGGAAUACCUUCCCAGAAUAGAGGAUGACCAGUCAAAAGUAUAGUAGUAGAUGUAUCCCUCUGUUAGACCAACUCUCAAGGUCCAUGUUAUUUUAUCUUAAUGUUGAUGAAUGCAAGAUGGUGACAAUAGUCACUUAUCCAGUCCAU